GGAAAGCGUCAGGAUUUUCCCAUAAUCCUUUGCUGCAGCUUGUGUCUGACCUCUGUGCGCUAAGAGACGGAGAGAAAUGGCGCCUCCUGUGCAGGUUUCCCCUCUGAUUAAGACCGCCCGGUACUCGGCUCUGAUUGUGGGGAUGAUCUACGGUAAAAAGCGCUAUGAUUACCUGAAGCCCAUAGCGGCGGAGGAGAGGAGGAUCGAGGAGGAGGAGAAGAAAGUGAGGGAGGAACAGGAACGCAUCGCCAAACAGCUGGCUGAGGCAAACGAAGACACGAUCCUGAAGUGAGCUCUGGAGUGUGUUGUUUAUGGACCCGUUCUGGAGGUCUCGCUGUUCUUCUCUUCCUCUACAUUUAAUGCCUUCAUACAAUGAAUAAGAUUUGUGUCUUUAGUAAAAUUUAGUCCAUGACCAUGUGUGCACCUGAGUGUUUCUCCUCCUCACCUCCUUAGCAGAGAGUGAGGUGUAUUUACUUUCUCAACGACGUAUACACACACACACAGAUCUGUCUAAUGUUCAUCAUCACCUCAGUGACGCAGUAAAGAGCUGCAGACGUGUGGAUAAUUUAGGGGUUUUCCCAGAAAUAAAGCAACUUGUGUUUAGCGGUGGGAUCAAUUCACUGUCCCGCUUAUCAGGAGUAUUUAUAAAUAAAUAAAUUUCCCCAAUUGUGAA
This is a long non-coding RNA of Neoarius graeffei (lesser salmon catfish), 673 nucleotides long. RefSeq lists it as uncharacterized. The transcript has 4 exons. NCBI's taxonomy places the organism in Eukaryota, Metazoa, Chordata, Actinopteri, Siluriformes, Ariidae. The record is from RefSeq and is a predicted model, not a curated record.